UAGGGAAUAUUGGACAAUGGGUGAGAGCCUGAUCCAGCCAUGCCGCGUGCAGGAAGAAGGCGUUAUGCGUUGUAAACUGCUUUUGCCAGGGGAUAAAAAGACCGUGCGCGGUUAAUUGAAGGUACCUGGUGAAUAAGCCACGGCUAACUACGUGCCAGCAGCCGCGGUAAUACGUAGGUGGCAAGCGUUGUCCGGAUUUAUUGGGUUUAAAGGGUGCGUAGGUGGCCCUGUAAGUCAGUGGUGAAAUAUCUCAGCUUAACUGAGAGGGUGCCAUUGAUACUGCAGGGCUUGAGUACAGAUGAGGUAGGCGGAAUUGACGGUGUAGCGGUGAAAUGCGUAGAUAUCAAGAGGAACACCUGAGGUGAAGACGGGUUGCUGGGCUGACACUGACGCUGAGGCGCGAAAAGCCAGGGGAGCAAACGGGAUUAGAUACCCCAGUAGUCCCUGAGCGGGCUGGCAAGGCGCAU
This 467-nucleotide ribosomal RNA is filed under the name uncultured bacterium. RNAcentral describes it as "bacterial SSU rRNA". It matches the Rfam family "Bacterial small subunit ribosomal RNA", at positions 355 to 825 of the family's 1533-position model. The record is from RNAcentral.